UUAAUUAAAAAAAUACUUAUAAAGGAAAUGCAUAGGUACGUCUUUCUUUUUGGUGUGCAAAAAUAUCUAUAACUUGACACAAUCUAUUAACCUUCGUAAAAUAUGUCUGUUUUCAUCGACACGGUCAUUGAACUCGCGUAUUGACUUUCGGUACGCGGAAUCUAGUGCUUUACGAAUGUUUUGUCGUCCGAUAGACGCCAAUUGCAGUUCAUUCAACAAAUGGUACCGAGAUUGUGAAUGUUUUUUCAUCUUGAUUGAAAGAUGAGCUAAGUCGUCAACGCCCGUUUCAGUCCAAGCCAAGCACUCUCACCUCCGCCGGCCGCGCCGAAAGCAAAAUAGUUUGUUGCUUUCAUCACAACCAUGAACCACACAACCACGGUGUUUUCACAUAUUGUUCGGAUUUAAACACACGCGUAUAUGUUUUCGUUUUGGUAGUACAUUUUUGCGUAAGGUCAAGUUCAGGCCGUGGCGGUCCCUUAGCUUUCAAUUCAAGCCGAAUUUGUAACGUUUUAACACACUUUUUAAUGAACGCCACAUUAUAAUUGUCGAUUUUAACACUCACAAGUAAUACUGAUAACUACAGGCUAUUUCAACAGUCAACACGUAUCUUAUGAUUUUAAUUCGAAAAUUCCCGAUUAUAGGUACAUUCGCGCGCGUGCAAGUUGACUAGAGUGUUUGUUUAUAUUUGAGUGGCAACGUCGCGCAAUUGCUGUCUUGUGGACGGGCGCGCGGUAAAAACGAACCGGCAACGUUUGCGGGAGCGGCGCUCCGAAUUUUGCUAUUUUUUCAUAGAAAAUCUUCUGUUUCACGCG
Long non-coding RNA from Colias croceus (clouded yellow), 812 nucleotides. RefSeq lists it as uncharacterized. Lineage: Eukaryota; Metazoa; Arthropoda; Insecta; Lepidoptera; Pieridae. The transcript has 2 exons. The record is from RefSeq and is a predicted model, not a curated record.